This 494-nucleotide ribosomal RNA is filed under the name uncultured bacterium. RNAcentral describes it as "partial 16S ribosomal RNA". It matches the Rfam family "Bacterial small subunit ribosomal RNA", at positions 31 to 507 of the family's 1533-position model. The record is from RNAcentral.
GAACGCUGGCGGCGUGCCUAAUACCUGCAAGUCGAGCGAACAGACGAGGAGCUUGCUCCUCUGACGUUCGCGGCGGACGGGUGAGUAACACGUGGAUAACCUACCUAUAAGACUGGGAUAACUUCGGGAAACCGGAGCUAAUACCGGAUAAUAUAUUGAACCGCAUGGUUCAAUAGUGAAAGACGGUUUUGCUGUCACUUAUAGAUGGAUCCGCGCCGCAUUAGCUAGUUGGUAAGGUAACGGCUUACCAAGGCAACGAUGCGUAGCCGACCUGAGAGGGUGAUCGGCCACACUGGAACUGAGACACGGUCCAGACUCCUACGGGAGGCAGCAGUAGGGAAUCUUCCGCAAUGGGCGAAAGCCUGACGGAGCAACGCCGCGUGAGUGAUGAAGGUCUUCGGAUCGUAAAACUCUGUCAUUAGGGAAGAACAAAUGUGUAAGUAACUAUGCACGUCUUGACGGUACCUAAUCAGAAAGCCACGGCUAACUACGUG